This 358-nucleotide ribosomal RNA is filed under the name uncultured bacterium. RNAcentral's name for it is "partial 16S ribosomal RNA". It matches the Rfam family "Bacterial small subunit ribosomal RNA", at positions 338 to 694 of the family's 1533-position model. The record is from RNAcentral.
CCUACGGGGGGCUGCAGUGAGGAAUAUUGGUCAAUGGGCGGAAGCCUGAACCAGCCAAGUAGCGUGCGGGAUGACGGCCCUACGGGUCGUAAACCGCUUUUGUACGGGGAUAACACCCUCCACUUGUGGAGGUCUGCAGGUACCGUGCGAAUAAGGGCCGGCUAAUUCCGUGCCAGCAGCCGCGGUAAUACGGAAGGUCCGAGCGUUAUCCGGAUUCAUUGGGCUUAAAGGGAGCGUAGGCGGGCGUUCAAGUCAGCUGUAAAAUCUAGCGGCUCAACCGCGUCCAGCAGUUGAAACUGGAGGCCUUGAGUUCACAACAGGCAGGCUGAAGUCGUGGUGUAGCGGUGAGAUGCAUAGA